RNAcentral lists this ribosomal RNA (944 nucleotides) under uncultured archaeon. RNAcentral's name for it is "bacterial SSU rRNA". It matches the Rfam family "Archaeal small subunit ribosomal RNA", at positions 1 to 921 of the family's 1478-position model. The record is from RNAcentral.
UUCCGGUUGAUCCUGCCGGACCCUACUGCUAUCGGGGGAGGACUAAAACAUGCAAGUCGUGCGUCUCCAAGCCAUGGUGGAGACGCGGCACACGGCUCAGUAACACGUGGCUAACCUACCCUUGAGACGGGGACAACCCCGGGAAACUGGGGCUAAUCCCCGAUAGGGGAGGACACCUGGAAAGGGUCUUCCCCCAAAGGGCGUCUAGACCAUGCUUCUAGAUGCCGCUCAAGGAUGGGGCCGCGGCCGAUCAGGUUGUUGGUGAGGUAACGGCUCACCAAGCCUAUAACCGGUACGGGCCGUGAGAGCGGGAGCCCGGAGAUGGGCACUGAGACAAGGGCCCAGGCCCUACGGGGCGCAGCAGUUGCGAAAACUCCGCAAUGCACGAAAGUGUGACGGGGCUACCCCGAGUGCCGUCCGCUGAGGGCGGCUUUUCCCCGGUGUAAGGAGCCGGGGGAAUAAGGAGAGGGCAAGUCUGGUGUCAGCCGCCGCGGUAAUACCAGCUCUCCGAGUGGUUGGGACGAUUAUUGGGCUUAAAGCGUCCGUAGCCGGCCUGGCAAGUCUUCCGUUAAAUCCAACGAUUCAAUCGUUGGACUGCGGGAGAUACUGUCAGGCUAGGGGGCGGGAGAGGCCGACGGUAUUCCCGGGGUAGGGGUAAAAUCCUAUAAUCCCGGGAAGACCACCAGUGGCGAAGGCGGUCGGCUAGAACGCGCCCGACGGUGAGGGACGAAAGCUGGGGGAGCGAACCGGAUUAGAUACCCGGGUAGUCCCAGCUGUAAACGAUGCGGGCUAGGUGUUGGAGCGGCUACGGGCCGCUUCAGUGCCGCAGGGAAACCAUUAAGCCCGCCGCCUGGGGAGUACGGCCGCAAGGCUGAAACUUAAAGGAAUUGGCGGGGGAGCACCACAAGGGGUGAAGCUUGCGGUUUAAUUGGAUUCAACGCCGG